RNAcentral lists this ribosomal RNA (469 nucleotides) under uncultured bacterium. RNAcentral describes it as "bacterial SSU rRNA". It matches the Rfam family "Bacterial small subunit ribosomal RNA", at positions 26 to 518 of the family's 1533-position model. The record is from RNAcentral.
AGGACGAACGCUGGCGGCGUGCCUAACACAUGCAAGUCGAACGAAGCAUAGUAAUAUGCUUAGUGGCGGACGGGUGAGUAACGCGUGAACAAUCUGCCCUAUACAAAGGAAUAGCCUCGGGAAACUGGGAUUAAAACCAUAUAACACUUUAGUACCGCAUGGUACAGAAGUCAAAUUGAUUAAGAGGUAUAGGAUGAGUUCGCGUCUGAUUAGCUAGUUGGUAAGGUAACGGCUUACCAAGGCGACGAUCAGUAGCCGGCCUGAGAGGGUGAACGGCCACACUGGAACUGAGACACGGUCCAGACUCCUACGGGAGGCAGCAGUGGGGAAUAUUGCACAAUGGAGGAAACUCUGAUGCAGCGACGCCGCGUGAGUGAAGAAGGUCUUCGGAUCGUAAAACUCUGUCCUUGGUGAAGAUAAUGACGGUAGCCAAGGAGGAAGCCCCGGCUAACUACGUGCCAGCCGCCGC